RNAcentral lists this ribosomal RNA (466 nucleotides) under uncultured bacterium. Its description in RNAcentral is "partial 16S ribosomal RNA". It matches the Rfam family "Bacterial small subunit ribosomal RNA", at positions 28 to 507 of the family's 1533-position model. The record is from RNAcentral.
GACGAACGCUGGCGGCGCGCCUAACACAUGCAGGUCGAACGAGCGAGAGAGAGCUUGCUUUCUCGAGCGAGUGGCGAACGGGUGAGUAACGCGUGAGGAACCUGCCUCAAAGAGGGGGACAACAGUUGGAAACGACUGCUAAUACCGCAUAAGCCCACGGUGCCGCAUGGCACCGAGGGAAAAGGGGCAAUCCGCUUUGAGAUGGCCUCGCUUCCGAUUAGCUAGUUGGUGAGGUAAUGGCCCACCAAGGCGACGAUCGGUAGCCGGACUGAGAGGGUGAACGGCCACAUUGGGACUGAGACACGGCCCAGACUCCUACGGGAGGCAGCAGUGGGGAAUAUUGCACAAUGGGGGAAACCCUGAUGCAGCGACGCCGCGUGGAGGAAGAAGGUCUUCGGAUUGUAAACUCCUGUUGUUGGGGAAGAUAAUGACGGUACCCAACAAGGAAGUGACGGCUAACUACGUA